UCCAAAUGUUUCACAGUGAGGACAUUGUUUUCCAGAUAGAAGGCAGUCCCAACAAGGGUUGGCUUGAUACUCCUUCCUCUUGACACUUUUCUCCCUUUCACCCUCCAUUCGUACCUGUUGUUGGUGACAGCUGUUGGUGACAGCUGACCUCCAGUUAGAACACUCGAGGGUGAGGGCUUCCCAGUUCUCGGUGUCUAGUGUCUAGAAUAGAUCAAGAGAAAUAAUGUUAUCAUUCUAUUCUGCUUUGGUCAGACCUCACCUAGAAUAUCAUAUCCAGUUCUGGGCACUACAAUUCAGGAAGGAUAUUCAUGAGUUGGAAUGUGUACAUAGAAGGCCAAAAUGAUCAACAGUUUGGAAACCAAGCUAUUGUAGUAGAGCCUGUAAGUAACGUUACAAACAGUCGUAUGGGUUACUCAGGAGCAGGAAUCUGAUGAUGAGCAGCAGAGAAAGAGGAUUCUGGACAUACUUACAGCACCUACAGAUGAGGAGUCAUUAGAAGGAUUCUCUGGGGAUGAUAAUGUUGCAGACAGUAGUAUGGGUGCCAGAAGGGGGAAACGGGUUACUCGGGAGCAGGAAUCUGAUGAUGAGCAGCAUUGAAAGAGGAUUCGGGACAUACUUACAGCACCUGCAGAUGAGGAGUCAUUUGAAGGAAUCUCUGGGAACGAUGGGUCAAUGAGUGAAGGAGCAGAAGGAGACACCAUGGAUUGGACUAAGAUAAGAGAAGUGCAAACUAUUUGUCUGUGUACCAAAGCUCAGCACCAGAAUUUAAUGAUGAUGGCUCUUACUGUCCACCACCAAUUGCAUGGUUGUGUGAAACCAGGGAAAUACGUACUCUGCCUUCAAAUUCACAUUUUCAGUUGACAAGCUGAGAACUAGCAGCUUUCGAAAAAACCGAAUUCUAAUUAUUGACUCCCUGCACAAUAGGUUUCAUUCCCACAAGAGAAACCUGAAGCUUUCCUGCAACUGAGCAUCGGUGUGGUAUUUGGAUCUGAUAAAACUUCAGGAAGCAUAUAAGAGGAUGGGGACGAGGCUUUUGGAUGCUGAAAUCUCAUUAUAUACAAUGGUGGACUCAAAUGUAUCCCUUUUGAAUACUUUCAAGCUCUGAAUGGCUGAAUUUGUGAAUGCAGAAUUUAUGAAUACGGAGAUCUGACUGUACUCCUAACAGGAGAAAUAAUGCUAUAAACCAACAUCUACCAGUUUACUUAAGUGUCUUGAAGUGGAAAAUAUACAUUUCUCAGAAGGCUCGUUGAAUUGUCUUUUGUAUGGUGAUGUGACACAAUACAACCCAGCACACAUUGCUGAACUUGUGGUGCAUAUCAGUUUAGUUUUCCAGACAGAGUCACACAAAAAAUUAACAAUAAUAAUAAUCGCAUUUCGUCCUUUUAAAAAACUCUUGUCCUAUAAUGAGGAUCUGUUGCUGCCAUUCAUCAGUGCAAGACAUGCUAAACCCGAUGGAAUAAUCAGUCUCAAGUGUUUAUCAGAAAUAAUAAUGUUAUUAUUUUCUGUGCAUGCAUCCUGAAGUUACAAAGCCUCAGAUGGGAUUAAUAGAAAUUUUAAUUAAGAUAUGGAAAUAAGCUUCUUUCCCUUCACAUGUACAAAAAAAGCUGCAAGUUAACAGCAUGAGC
Molecule: long non-coding RNA, 1625 nt
Organism: Anolis carolinensis (green anole)
Lineage: Eukaryota; Metazoa; Chordata; Lepidosauria; Squamata; Anolidae
Source: Ensembl